CUACGUGCCAGCAGCCGCGGUAAUACGUAGGGCGCGAGCGUUGUCCGGAAUUAUUGGGCGUAAAGAGCUUGUAGGCGGUUGGUCGCGUCUGCUGUGAAAGGCCGGGGCUUAACUCCGGUUUUGCAGUGGGUACGGGCUAACUAGAGUGCAGUAGGGGAGACUGGAAUUCCUGGUGUAGCGGUGGAAUGCACAGAUAUCAGGAGGAACACCGAUGGCGAAGGCAGGUCUCUGGGCUGUAACUGACGCUGAGAAGCGAAAGCAUGGGGAGCGAACAGGAUUAGAUACCCUGGUAGUCCAUGCCGUAAACGUUGGGCACUAGGUGUGGGGGACAUUCCACGUUUUCCGCGCCGUAGCUAACGCAUUAAGUGCCCCGCCUGGGGAGUACGGCCGCAAGGCUAAAACUCAAAGGAAUUGACGGGGGCCCGCACAAGCGGCGGAGCAUGCGGAUUAAUUCGAUGCAACGCGAAGAACCUUACCAAGGCUUGACAUGCAUUAGAUCGCGUCAGAGAUGG
RNAcentral lists this ribosomal RNA (512 nucleotides) under uncultured bacterium. RNAcentral describes it as "bacterial SSU rRNA". It matches the Rfam family "Bacterial small subunit ribosomal RNA", at positions 501 to 1009 of the family's 1533-position model. The record is from RNAcentral.